CUGUUUAUCAAAAACAWGUCUUUAAGAUUAUAAUUUAAAGUYUAAUUUGCUCCAUGAUUAAAAAUUAAAUAGCUGCAGAAUUUUAACUGUACAAAGGUAGCAUAAUCAAUAGUUUUUUAAUUGAAAGCUGGAAUGAAUGAUUUGAUAAGGAAAAUAUUGUUUCUAAUUUAAUAAUAUUAGAAUUUUUUUUUUAGUAAAAAUACUAAAAAAAAUUUAAAAGACGAGAAGACCCUAUAGAUUUUUAUAUUUUUUUUUAAAAAUUAUAAUAAAUUAAUAAAUAUAUUUUUAUUAAAUAAAUAUUUAAUUGGGGUAAUUUUUAAAUUAAUAAAAUUUUAAAUUAUAAUAAACAAAAAUUAUUGAAUUUAUGAUCUUUAAGUUAAAAUUAAGAGAAUUAAAUACCUUAGGGAUAACAGCGUAAUUUUUUUAGAGAGAUCAUAUUAAUAAAAAAGUUUGCGACCUCGAUGUUGAAUUAAGAUAAAAUUUUAAUGAAGAAGUUAAAAAUUUUUGGYCUGUUCRACCAUUAAAAUCUUAC
RNAcentral lists this ribosomal RNA (532 nucleotides) under Diapetimorpha sp. 2 BFS-2018. RNAcentral describes it as "partial 16S large subunit ribosomal RNA". The stretch from base 406 to 532 matches the Rfam family "Archaeal large subunit ribosomal RNA", at positions 2544 to 2670 of the family's 2987-position model. Lineage: Eukaryota; Metazoa; Arthropoda; Insecta; Hymenoptera; Ichneumonidae. The record is from RNAcentral.